This 179-nucleotide ribosomal RNA is filed under the name Ruellia steyermarkii. Its description in RNAcentral is "5.8S ribosomal RNA". The stretch from base 1 to 139 matches the Rfam family "5.8S ribosomal RNA", at positions 18 to 154 of the family's 154-position model. From Rfam's summary of the family: 5.8S ribosomal RNA (5.8S rRNA) is a component of the large subunit of the eukaryotic ribosome. It is transcribed by RNA polymerase I as part of the 45S precursor that also contains 18S and 28S rRNA. Functionally, it is thought that 5.8S rRNA may be involved in ribosome translocation. The record is from RNAcentral. Lineage: Eukaryota; Viridiplantae; Streptophyta; Magnoliopsida; Lamiales; Acanthaceae.
AUCUCGGCUCUCGCAUCGAUGAAGAACGUAGCGAAAUGCGAUACUUGGUGUGAAUUGCAGAAUCCCGUGAACCAUCGAGUCUUUGAACGCAAGUUGCGCCCGAAGCCUUCGGGCCGAGGGCACGCCUGCCUGGGCGUCACGCAUCGCUUCGCCCCCACCACUCCGCUCGAACGAAGCGG